AGGAUACGGUUAACGGAGCGAAAGCGACGUUCAACCUCAAAAGAAGCAGAGGGGGCUUAGUGGUGGGGCGCCUGCGUACCUUUUGUAUAAUGGGUCAGGGAUUUAUAUUCUGUAGCAAGGUUAACCGCAUAGGGGAGCCGGAGGGAAACCGAGUCUUAAUUGGGCGUUAAGUUUCAGGGUAUAGACCCGAAACCCGGUGAUCUAGCCAUGGGCAGGUUGAAGGUUGGGUAACACUAACUGGAGGACCGAACCGAC
Molecule: ribosomal RNA, 255 nt
Filed under: Salmonella enterica subsp. enterica serovar Lubbock
Lineage: Bacteria; Pseudomonadati; Pseudomonadota; Gammaproteobacteria; Enterobacterales; Enterobacteriaceae
Description: partial 23S ribosomal RNA
Rfam family: Bacterial large subunit ribosomal RNA
Source: RNAcentral